Molecule: long non-coding RNA, 392 nt
Filed under: Ursus maritimus (polar bear)
Lineage: Eukaryota; Metazoa; Chordata; Mammalia; Carnivora; Ursidae
Description: lncRNA (ENSUMAG00000001675.1)
Source: RNAcentral
AAAGACGAAAGACUUUUUAAUUUAUUUAUUUUAUUUGUUUGGUCAGCUCUAAGGGAACUGAUAAAAUCACAAGGAAGAAAGAAAAGUAAACAAUUACAACAGAGUGAUGAGUGCACUGGUUGGGGAACUGAAGAUCGUUCAGCACACCAGGUGGUGGGUGCAUGUGAGAGGAAAUGGCCACUGAGGAUACGGGACAAGUAGGCAGGGGCCCCAUCUUAUGGGGUGAUACUAAGAUUCUCCUCCUCGUCCUCCACCUUCUCCGUAAACGUGGAACCAAAUUGGAUCCACUACGUAUAGACAGCAAGCCUCAAGCAGCCCACGGCCCCGGGACAGCUUCAGAGAGACCUGGGCAAGUCAUGCUACCUUCCUUGUCUUCUAGUUUUUGCAUAUAA